RNAcentral lists this ribosomal RNA (253 nucleotides) under uncultured bacterium. RNAcentral's name for it is "partial 16S ribosomal RNA". It matches the Rfam family "Bacterial small subunit ribosomal RNA", at positions 524 to 776 of the family's 1533-position model. The record is from RNAcentral.
GACGAAGGGGGCAAGCGUUGUUCGGAAUGACUGGGCGUAAAGGGCGCGUAGGCGGCUUGGCAAGUCAGGCGUGAAAUUCCUGGGCUCAACCUGGGGGCUGCGCUUGAGACUGCUGGGCUUGAGGAUGGAAGAGGCUCGUGGAAUUCCCAGUGUAGAGGUGAAAUUCGUAGAUAUUGGGAAGAACACCGGUGGCGAAGGCGGCGAGCUGGUCCAUUACUGACGCUGAGGCGCGACAGCGUGGGGAGCAAACAGG